Molecule: ribosomal RNA, 274 nt
Filed under: uncultured bacterium
Lineage: Bacteria
Description: partial 16S ribosomal RNA
Rfam family: Bacterial small subunit ribosomal RNA
Source: RNAcentral
AUACGGAGGGUGCAAGCGUUGUUCGGCAUUAUUGGGCGUAAAGAGCAUGUAGGCGGACUAUUAAGUCUGGUGUGAAAGCCCGGGGCUCAACCCCGGAAGUGCAUUGGAUACUGGUAGUCUUGAGUAUGGGAGAGGAAAGUGGAAUUCCGAGUGUAGGAGUGAAAUCCGUAGAUAUUCGGAGGAACACCAGUGGCGAAGGCGGCUUUCUGGACCAAUACUGACGCUGAGAUGCGAAAGCGUGGGGAGCGAACAGGAUUAGAAACCCUAGUAGUCC